GAUGAAGAACGUAGCGUAAUGCGAUACUUGGUGUGAAUUGCAGAAUCCCGUGAACCAUCGAGUCUUUGAACGCAAGUUGCGCCCGAAGCCACUAGGCCGAGGGCACGCCUGCCUGGGCGUCACACGCCGUUGCCCCCCCAUCUACUCCUUCGGGAUUGCGGGGGGGCGGAUGAUGGCCUCCUGUGCGCCUAGCCGCGCGGUUGGCAUAAAUACCAAGUCCUCGGCGACGCACGCCACGACAAUCGGUGGUUGCGAAACCUCGGUUGCCCGUCGUGUGCGUUCGUCGCGCAUCGAGGGCUCGAAAAAAUGCUCGGCUCCGGCUGGGCUUUCAACGCGACCCCAGGUCAGGCGGGGUUACCCGCUGAAUUUAAGCAUAUCAAUAAGCGGAGGA
Molecule: unclassified non-coding RNA, 391 nt
Filed under: soil metagenome
Description: partial contains 5.8S ribosomal RNA, internal transcribed spacer 2, and large subunit ribosomal RNA
Rfam family: 5.8S ribosomal RNA (bases 1-122)
Source: RNAcentral